AAAAAAAGAAAAAAAAUUUAAUAAAAUGUUUUGUUUUUUCCUGAAGCAGAAACUGCUUCUUUUAGGGUUUCUCUAACCUUUGGGAGCCGCCGCUCAAGGACUUCCCACAGCCUCUAUCGAUGCCCCAGUCCCCAAUCGCGACGGAGAGGGCACCAACUCGGCGAUUCCGGCGAAAAGGUAAGUUUACCCUCUUCUUUUUUUAUAUUUUAAGUAAAAAUAAAUAAAUAAAUAAAAUAAGCAAAUAAAUAAAGAAAUGGCGAAUCUGUAUUUUAAUAUUUUCUUUGUAUUCUCUUUCGUUCCAAAAAAAAAAUCCCCUGUUACAAUGUUUGAGUCUGCUUUUUAUAGUAGACCAAUGAAAAAAAGAAAAAAAGGUAUGAAAUUUCUAUUGCAUCUUUGCUUGCUGAUUUUCCUUCGAGUUUCUCGUUAUUCUGCCAAUUCUAUCUUGUUGCCUUUCUUGUCCUGCAGGUGAAGGUGGCUCGUGUAAGGCGCUUGGUUGCGGUGCUGAAGACUCCCUUAGAAACCCUAGGUUUCUUCAUUUGUUUUGGGCCACUUGUAUUUUGGGCCUUGUAUUCUGGGCCAGCUCGUUAAAAUACUGGACUUUUUUAUUUUAUUUUUAUUAUAAAAAGGCCGGAUAAAAUUUAGUUAUUACAAGUGAUAAAAACUAUCAAAACACCAUUAAAAAUAAUAGAAAAUAUAAAAUUUUGAAAUAUAAUAUAUAAUAAAAGUAUAUAAAUAAUUUAAUAUUUGUAAAAAAGAAAUUUACUCUAACUAGC
This 773-nucleotide long non-coding RNA is filed under the name Gossypium barbadense (sea-island cotton). RNAcentral describes it as "long non-coding RNA (GBAR_LNC022171)". Lineage: Eukaryota; Viridiplantae; Streptophyta; Magnoliopsida; Malvales; Malvaceae. The record is from RNAcentral.